This 828-nucleotide long non-coding RNA is filed under the name Sinocyclocheilus grahami. Its description in RNAcentral is "lncRNA (ENSSGRG00000011527.1)". Lineage: Eukaryota; Metazoa; Chordata; Actinopteri; Cypriniformes; Cyprinidae. The record is from RNAcentral.
AAUAUAUAUAUAUAUAUAUAUAUACAUUUCUGUUCUUUUCCACAGGAGACGAGGAGAAGACAGCUAGCGGAGGCUGCAGAGAAGAGACAGAAAGAGACCACCUACAGAGGUAUCAAAGACCCCAAAGCCUUGGAGAGGAAAAAGAAGAAACAAGAAGAGACAGAGAAACAGACCAUGAACUCUGCACCUUCUGGAGGCGGUGGGCUAAAGUGGCAGGUUGGCUAACACAGGCUAAAGGGAAGAUCGCUGUUGUGUUUACAUCGGGGGUCAACCUUCAUCUGCAGUUAUUUCCCGCUGACUUGAGAGAUUCUUAAAACUCUUCAUUCUUUCGGUUCUUAUUUUGAAGUGUACACUAGCCAGGGGAGUUUGCAUAGAGACUAGAAUUUUUGCCGAGCUCCUGCACAAAACUCCUCAUCCUCCAGGCCUUCUGAUUGGCCAGAGUGCAUUUAGGCCACACCCCUUUAAAUGCCAAGAUGGGCUUGCUAGUGGGUUUUUGGGACUUUAGCAAUUCAUGUCCCCACCCACACACACACACACACACACACACACACAAGCUGUUCAGUUUGUGUUCAUGCAUCAAGCUUUUGUACCGAUGUGCUUUCUAUUUUGAACAUUAAUGGAAUCCUCAAAUCUGCAAAUCUGAGAUCUGAAUGUCAUUUUAAUACACAUUUAUACAACCGAAAAGCAUCUUUUAUAUUGGAUUUUGGAUAAUUGAAUACAUAUUUAGGCAUUUAUAUUUAUGCAUCAGUUACCAGUGCAUUUUGCGAUUGGUCAGGACUUUAAGUAUAAUAAUAAUGGAUGUCAGUUAGCACUUUCACUGCCUGUUGA